CUUUAAUUCGCCACGUAGUUAUGGCUGUGUCAACGGUGAGGUAAGUGUGCCCAGUGGGGACCUGGAUAUUCCCCCUGGUCCAGAGGGAGUGGGGGGUUACAGGGCUAAGAGGGUUCACUUCAGGACACUAUGUCUUAGGCAGGAUAUUGGCCAUCUCUCUGCGACAAUGGGCUGGAAAUUCUGCUAGACGGUGGUUCCGGUCAGCAAACGUUGCU
Non-coding RNA from Pelobates cultripes (western spadefoot toad), 215 nucleotides. The record is from the annotation of a GenBank genome assembly. Lineage: Eukaryota; Metazoa; Chordata; Amphibia; Anura; Pelobatidae.